AUGGAUACCUCUCCAUCUGACGAAAACCCCCUGUCGGGUUAUCGCCCUGAACGCCUGAGCAACACACACCCUUUUCCUCAGAGGUUGACUGCAAGAGAAAGGGCCAACUAUGCUCCUCAAUUAUCAAAGCUCAGAGCCUUCAUGGCGAACGGUUUGACAGGAGUUGAUCUUGCUCGUUGUUGGAUAAGCUGGAGUAUUCUGCCCUUAAGCCGGCGCUCCGGUUUGAUGUGUGAGUACACGGGAAGUUUGAAGGAUGCUCAGCGGCACAUUGACAUUCAGCUUACAGAUGCAGAAGUCACUGAAGCUGUAAAAAAGAUACUGAACGAACCGGAGGCUGUCUGA
Molecule: ribosomal RNA, 342 nt
Filed under: Triticum aestivum (bread wheat)
Lineage: Eukaryota; Viridiplantae; Streptophyta; Magnoliopsida; Poales; Poaceae
Description: partial small subunit ribosomal RNA
Source: RNAcentral